Molecule: ribosomal RNA, 344 nt
Filed under: uncultured bacterium
Lineage: Bacteria
Description: bacterial SSU rRNA
Rfam family: Bacterial small subunit ribosomal RNA
Source: RNAcentral
ACUCCUACGGGAGGCAGCAGUGGGAAUAUUGCACAAUGGGGAAAGCCCAUCGAUGCAGCCAUGCCGCGCUGUGUGAAGAAGGCCAAUUCGGGGCUUUGGUUAAAGACACUUUCAGUAGGGAGGAAGGUAGUGUAGUUAACACCUGCAUUAUUUGACGUUACCUACAGAAGAAGCACCGGCUAACUCCGUGCCAGCAGCCGCGGUAAUACGGAGGGUGCGAGCGUUAAUCGGAAUUACUGGGCGUAAAGCGCAUGCAGGCGGCCUGUUAAGUCAGAUGUGAAAGCCCGGGGCUUAACCUCGGAAUUGCAUUUGAAACUGGCAGGCUAGAGUCUUGUAGAGGGGUG